AUUCUGCAGUCUUUACCUAUGGAAUUUUAUUCUAUGAAGGAAUGUAAUGCUUGCGAAAGAUGCUGGAUCAACAGUUGCAGAGAUUGAACUCCUCUACCAACAGGAAAGGUUUUUCUACACCAGCAGGAGGUCUUCUCUUCCCUCUUACGGGGAUACCUGUCUCUUGGUAAUGCCCCCUUCACAAUGAAGGGAAGAAAGGAUGGACCAGCAGCAAUGUGGAAUGGGGUGGUAACAGUCAUGAUGAACACUGUCCUACUAACAUGGAGAACUGAAUAAAAGAGUUGUG
Molecule: long non-coding RNA, 286 nt
Organism: Gavia stellata (red-throated loon)
Lineage: Eukaryota; Metazoa; Chordata; Aves; Gaviiformes; Gaviidae
Exons: 3
Source: RefSeq, a predicted model, not a curated record